RNAcentral lists this transfer RNA (73 nucleotides) under Monodelphis domestica (gray short-tailed opossum). It matches the Rfam family "tRNA". From Rfam's summary of the family: Transfer RNA (tRNA) molecules are approximately 80 nucleotides in length. Lineage: Eukaryota; Metazoa; Chordata; Mammalia; Didelphimorphia; Didelphidae. The record is from Rfam by way of RNAcentral.
GGCUGGGUAGCUCAGUGGAUCGAGCGCCAAACCUAGAGGCGGGAGGUCCUAGGUUCGAAUCCGGCCUCAGCCA